This 254-nucleotide ribosomal RNA is filed under the name uncultured bacterium. Its description in RNAcentral is "partial 16S ribosomal RNA". It matches the Rfam family "Bacterial small subunit ribosomal RNA", at positions 524 to 777 of the family's 1533-position model. The record is from RNAcentral.
UACGUAGGGUGCAAGCGUUAAUCGGAAUUACUGGGCGUAAAGCGUGCGUAGGUGGUUUGUUAAGUCUGUUGUGAAAGCCCCGGGCUCAACCUGGGAAUGGCAAUGGAUACUGGCAGGCUAGAGUGCGGUAGAGGGUAGUGGAAUUCCCGGUGUAGCGGUGAAAUGCGUAGAUAUACGGAGGAACACCAGCGGCGAAGGCGGGUACUGGGCCAACACUGACGUGGAUGUGCGAAAACUAGGGGGAGCAAACGGGG